Molecule: ribosomal RNA, 253 nt
Filed under: uncultured bacterium
Lineage: Bacteria
Description: partial 16S ribosomal RNA
Rfam family: Bacterial small subunit ribosomal RNA
Source: RNAcentral
UACGAAGGGUGCAAGCGUUACUCGGAAUCACUGGGCGUAAAGCGUGCGUAGGCGGUUUCUUAAGUCUGUCGUGAAAGCCCUGGGCUCAACCUGGGAACGGCGAUGGAUACUGGGAAGCUAGAAUGUGAGAGAGGAUGGUGGAAUUCCCGGUGUAGCGGUGAAAUGCGCAGAUAUCAGGAGGAACACCGGUGGCGAAGGCGGUGGUCUGGGCCGGAACUGACGCUGAAUAGCGAAAGCGUGGGUAGCGAACAGG